Long non-coding RNA from Callithrix jacchus (white-tufted-ear marmoset), 598 nucleotides. The record is from Ensembl. Lineage: Eukaryota; Metazoa; Chordata; Mammalia; Primates; Cebidae.
CUCCUAAACUCAUUGCUGAAAAAACUCUUGGUUAAUUUCUUUAAAAUUUGGUCGCAAUCCACUACCAGGUGUAAGAUAGAGCCAUGUGGUUAAAGAGCAAGCAUUGCAUGAUGAUCUGAGACACAGAUCAGAGAUGGGUUUUUCAAUGAAAAGCUACAUGUGCAGAGCUGAGAUUGCACCACUGCACACCAGCGGGCAAGAGUGAAACUCCGUCUCAAAAAAAACCAAACAAAAGAAAAAGAAGAAAAGAAAGAAAAAAGAAAAGAGGUGGUUUUCAACAUGUCCCUGGACCAGAAGAACAAGUAUCACAUGAUGAGGAAACUGAAGCACGCUGAGUAAAAAUGUCUUGUCCAAGUGCCAUCAUGUGUAUAAAAACAGAACGGAGGACGAUGACACCCCUCGAUAUGGAUCUCAAGAGGCCGAUCCUUUAUUGCUGUCAUUGGAAUGACAGCCGGAGGAGGAAAGUUCAGCCGAAGGCUGAGGCUGUGCAGGAAGGCAAGUUUGAUGGAAGAGAUGCAGCAGGGUGGUUGGAAAGGCUGAUGGGAUCUUGAAGUGCCUGGCUGGACUUGGGAGUUGGAAGCAGCUAUAAAUGGGGACA